UGGGGAAUAUUGGACAAUGGGCGCAAGCCUGAUCCAGCCAUGCCGCGUGAGUGAUGAAGGCCUUAGGGUUGUAAAGCUCUUUUGUCCGGGAAGAUAAUGACUGUACCGGAAGAAUAAGCCCCGGCUAACUUCGUGCCAGCAGCCGCGGUAAUACGAAGGGGGCUAGCGUUGCUCGGAAUCACUGGGCGUAAAGGGCGCGUAGGCGGACUUUUAAGUCGGGGGUGAAAGCCCAGGGCUCAACCCUGGAAUUGCCUUCGAUACUGGGAGUCUUGAGUUCGGAAGAGGUUGGUGGAACUGCGAGUGUAGAGGUGAAAUUCGUAGAUAGUCGCAAGAACACCGGUGGCGAAGGCGGCCAACUGGUCCGAAACAGACGAUGAGGCGCGAAAGCGUGGGGAGCAAACAGG
This 404-nucleotide ribosomal RNA is filed under the name Actinomycetes bacterium. RNAcentral describes it as "Actinobacteria bacterium partial 16S ribosomal RNA". It matches the Rfam family "Bacterial small subunit ribosomal RNA", at positions 355 to 776 of the family's 1533-position model. Lineage: Bacteria; Bacillati; Actinomycetota; Actinomycetes. The record is from RNAcentral.